UUUGAUGUGUUUUCGUUGGGGUUUAAGUUAGUUUGAAACCCCUAUGUGCUUGUUGGCUUGAGUUUGCAUGUUGUAGACUAGGUAAAUGCAUGUGUGAAUGGAUUGAGAGAUUUUUGUGCAUGAAAGAGGCUGAGUUCUGCCCUUUGGAAGAACUCAGGUUCGGCAGCCGAAGGCUCUUUCGGCCGCCGAACCUGCCUGUGGAGGCCAACUUUCGGCUGCCAAACCCUACCCCCGAAAGUGGACUUUCGGCUCUGGAAGGGAGUUUUGGCCGCCGAAGGUGCCGCCGAACAUGCAUGAGUUUCGUCUCUGAAGGGA
RNAcentral lists this long non-coding RNA (315 nucleotides) under Manihot esculenta (cassava). RNAcentral describes it as "long non-coding RNA (MESC_LNC008422)". The record is from RNAcentral. Lineage: Eukaryota; Viridiplantae; Streptophyta; Magnoliopsida; Malpighiales; Euphorbiaceae.